UACGGAGUGUGCAAGCGUUACUCGGAAUCACUGGGCAUAAAGCGCGCGUAGGCGGGUAUUCAAGUCGGUUGUGAAAUCCCCCAGCUCAACUGGGGAACUGCAUCCGAUACUGUCUGUCUUGAGGACGAGAGGGGAGAGUGGAACUUCUGGUGGAGCGGUGAAAUGCGUAGAUAUCAGGAGGAACACCGGUGGCGAAGGCGGGUCUCUGGGCCGAUACUGACGCUGAGGAGCGAAAGCGUGGGGAGCGAACAGG
This 253-nucleotide ribosomal RNA is filed under the name uncultured bacterium. Its description in RNAcentral is "partial 16S ribosomal RNA". It matches the Rfam family "Bacterial small subunit ribosomal RNA", at positions 524 to 776 of the family's 1533-position model. The record is from RNAcentral.